CUUUAUCAAAGAGUACUAGAGAGAUUGACCACAAGGAAGAUCUCUCGCUCAAUAUGCUCUUCACCCCGAAAGGUUCACUUGGGACGGUUAGCUCGGUAAAGCCUUUGAUACGCCCGGACUCGCUCAGAAGCAAUGGGCGGGAAUAGGCGAAGUUAACAUACUUGCUCAAUACGUUCAUUUAUUGCUAAACAAAAAUGACCUAGAUCGAAAUUUUUGGACUGGACCUUUCAUGGGUUGGGGUCUGACACCUCCAGAGCCGGGAACGGGCCAUAAAGAUAAAUUAUGUCUAAAAGGUUGAGGUACCUGGAUAUACUAAGUGGUAAUGCCCCAGAUCCAGUUAUCUAGCCUAACACGUCUUCUACACUAUUUAAAGAUUUGAAUUGGAAGUUGUGAUGCCUUAUUUCUAAGGUGCUUAAGGUAUACGAUGAGAAAGCUCUUCGAAUGAUGCAAGCAAUGGGAUACUCAAUUGGGGAAGCCCAGGGGUUGUGCAAUGGAAGAGGAAUGUUAGCCACCGUUUGAUGCCAUGUAUUCUCCAGCACAAAAGAGAGCUCUCUUUGAAGAUCCAGAAUGCGGAAAGGUCUUUAGGCGGCCGGGCUUAGGGUGUGACGAGAAGGUUGAGAAAGAUAGUCACAUGUUCGAAGAUGAUACUAAAGUCUUCCACAUUUCUGAGGAACACGAUUCGGAUGAGGAUGAG
RNAcentral lists this long non-coding RNA (694 nucleotides) under Panax ginseng (ginseng). RNAcentral's name for it is "long non-coding RNA (PGIN_LNC008307)". Lineage: Eukaryota; Viridiplantae; Streptophyta; Magnoliopsida; Apiales; Araliaceae. The record is from RNAcentral.